Molecule: ribosomal RNA, 253 nt
Filed under: uncultured bacterium
Lineage: Bacteria
Description: partial 16S ribosomal RNA
Rfam family: Bacterial small subunit ribosomal RNA
Source: RNAcentral
UACGUAGGGUGCAAGCGUUAUCCGGAAUUAUUGGGCGUAAAGAGCUCGUAGGCGGUUUGUCACGUCUGCUGUGAAAACUGGAGGCUCAACCUCCAGCCUGCAGUGGGUACGGACAGACUAGAGUGCGGUAGGGGAGAUUGGAAUUCCUGGUGUAGCGGUGGAAUGCGCAGAUAUCAGGAGGAACACCGAUGGCGAAGGCAGAUCUCUGGGCCGUAACUGACGCUGAGGAGCGAAAGCAUGGGGAGCGAACAGG